AAGACCUUGCACUUUUGGAGCGGCCGAUGUCUGAUUAGCUAGUUGGUGGGGUAAUGGCCUACCAAGGCUUCGAUCAGUAGCUGGUCUGAGAGGACGGCCAGCCACACUGGGACUGAGACACGGCCCAGACUCCUACGGGAGGCAGCAGUGGGGAAUUUUGGACAAUGGGCGCAAGCCUGAUCCAGCCAUGCCGCGUGAGUGAAGAAGGCCUUCGGGUUGUAAAGCUCUUUCAGCCGGGAAGAAAAGGUUGCGAUUAAUAAUCGCAAUUUAUGACGGUACCGGAAGAAGAAGCACCGGCUAACUACGUGCCAGCAGCCGCGGUAAUACGUAGGGUGCGAGCGUUAAUCGGAAUUACUGGGCGCAAAGGGUGUGCAGGCGGUUUUGUAAGUCAGAUGUGAAAUCCCCGGGCUUAACCUGGGAACU
This 423-nucleotide ribosomal RNA is filed under the name uncultured bacterium. RNAcentral describes it as "bacterial SSU rRNA". It matches the Rfam family "Bacterial small subunit ribosomal RNA", at positions 207 to 622 of the family's 1533-position model. The record is from RNAcentral.